GACGAACGCUGGCGGCGUGCUUAACACAUGCAAGUCGAACGGAAAGGCCCUGCUUUUGUGGGGUGCUCGAGUGGCGAACGGGUGAGUAACACGUGAGUAACCUGCCCUUGACUUUGGGAUAACUUCAGGAAACUGGGGCUAAUACCGGAUAGGAGCUCCUGCUGCAUGGUGGGGGUUGGAAAGUUUCGGCGGUUGGGGAUGGACUCGCGGCUUAUCAGCUUGUUGGUGGGGUAGUGGCUUACCAAGGCUUUGACGGGUAGCCGGCCUGAGAGGGUGACCGGCCACAUUGGGACUGAGAUACGGCCCAGACUCCUACGGGAGGCAGCAGUGGGGAAUAUUGCACAAUGGGCGGAAGCCUGAUGCAGCAACGCCGCGUGCGGGAUGACGGCCUUCGGGUUGUAAACCGCUUUCGCCUGUGACGAAGCGUGAGUGACGGUAAUGGGUAAAGAAGCACCGGCUAACUACGUGCCAGCAGCCGCGGUGAUACGUAGGGUGCGAGCGUUGUCCGGAUUUAUUGGGCGUAAAGGGCUCGUAGGUGGUUGAUCGCGUCGGAAGUGUAAUCUUGGGGCUUAACCCUGAGCGUGCUUUCGAUACGGGUUGACUUGAGGAAGGUAGGGGAGAAUGGAAUUCCUGGUGGAGCGGUGGAAUGCGCAGAUAUCAGGAGGAACACCAGUGGCGAAGGCGGUUCUCUGGGCCUUUCUUGACGCUGAGGAGCGAAAGCGUGGGGAGCGAACAGGCUUAGAUACCCUGGUAGUCCACGCUGUAAACGGUGGGUACUAGGUGUGGGGUCCAUUCCACGGGUUCCGUGCCGUAGCUAACGCUUUAAGUACCCCGCCUGGGGAGUACGGCCGCAAGGCUAAAACUCAAAGGAAUUGACGGGGCCCCGCACAAGCGGCGGAGCAUGCGGAUUAAUUCGAUGCAACGCGUAGAACCUUACCUGGGUUUGACAUGGAUCGGGAGCGCUCAGAGAUGGGUGUGCCUCUUUUGGGGUCGGUUCACAGGUGGUGCAUGGCUGUCGUCAGCUCGUGUCGUGAGAUGUUGGGUUAAGUCCCGCAACGAGCGCAACCCUUGUUCACUGUUGCCAGCACGUUAUGGUGGGGACUCAGUGGAGACCGCCGGGGUCAACUCGGAGGAAGGUGGGGAUGACGUCAAGUCAUCAUGCCCCUUAUGUCCAGGGCUUCACGCAUGCUACAAUGGCUGGUACAGAGAGUGGCGAGCCUGUGAGGGUGAGCGAAUCUCGGAAAGCCGGUCUCAGUUCGGAUUGGGGUCUGCAACUCGACCUCAUGAAGUCGGAGUCGCUAGUAAUCGCAGAUCAGCAACGCUGCGGUGAAUACGUUCCCGGG
This 1343-nucleotide ribosomal RNA is filed under the name uncultured bacterium. Its description in RNAcentral is "16S ribosomal RNA". It matches the Rfam family "Bacterial small subunit ribosomal RNA", at positions 28 to 1378 of the family's 1533-position model. The record is from RNAcentral.